Molecule: long non-coding RNA, 364 nt
Filed under: Nicotiana tabacum (common tobacco)
Lineage: Eukaryota; Viridiplantae; Streptophyta; Magnoliopsida; Solanales; Solanaceae
Description: long non-coding RNA (NTAB_LNC019282)
Source: RNAcentral
AUCAAUCAAUUUGUAUAUAUGAUACUUUUUCCUAUAUGAAAAACAUAGUGCUUCUGUCUAAAAAUAAGAAGUGAUUGAGCACCCAGUGGAGUCUAUAUAUGUAGGUUUGCCGUUUCACCUAUUCACUGUAGAAUGUUGAUACCUCUCCCAUUUUAAGUACUUAUAUUGCGUCAAAUUACAUAAAUGACUAACGACAUAGGUAUAAAACUACAUCUGCAGGCAAGGUGACAACACGAUUAGUUGCAGUCAGAAGGUAAGAGAGAUGGCAUAUCUGCCGAUUGAGCAACUCAGACAUGCACAAAGAUGGAUGAACACAACCUUUGAUCAGAUCACUCUUCUAUGGAAUGACUGCAGGAAAUUUAAC